AUGGCUUCGCUCACUAUGCUAGUAUGUAAGACGAUCUGGGACGAGAGGAACGCAAGGGUUUUUCGCAGCAAGUCGCCCCUCCCCCCAACUAUUCUUCUUCGAACCAUCAAGGGAGCGGCGGGGCUUUGGGCGACCGCGGGAGCAAAGAUUUUGGGGCACAUCAUACCGGGAGAGUAG
RNAcentral lists this ribosomal RNA (177 nucleotides) under Triticum aestivum (bread wheat). RNAcentral's name for it is "partial small subunit ribosomal RNA". The record is from RNAcentral. Lineage: Eukaryota; Viridiplantae; Streptophyta; Magnoliopsida; Poales; Poaceae.